RNAcentral lists this ribosomal RNA (497 nucleotides) under uncultured bacterium. Its description in RNAcentral is "partial 16S ribosomal RNA". It matches the Rfam family "Bacterial small subunit ribosomal RNA", at positions 28 to 507 of the family's 1533-position model. The record is from RNAcentral.
GAUGAACGCUGGCGGCGUGCCUAAUACAUGCAAGUCGAGCGAACGGACGAGAAGCUUGCUUCUCUGAUGUUAGCGGCGGACGGGUGAGUAACACGUGGAUAACCUACCUAUAAGACUGGGAUAACUUCGGGAAACCGGAGCUAAUACCGGAUAAUAUUUUGAACCGCAUGGUUCAAAAGUGAAAGACGGUCUUGCUGUCACUUAUAGAUGGUUCCGCGCUGCAUUAGCUAGUUGGUAAGGUAACGGCUUACCAAGGCAACGAUGCAUAGCCGACCUGAGAGGGUGAUCGGCCACACUGGAACUGAGACACGGUCCAGACUCCUACGGGAGGCAGCAGUAGGGAAUAUUGCGCAAUGGGCGAAAGCCUGACGGAGCAACGCCGCGUGAGUGAUGAAGGUCUUCGGAUCGUAAAACUCUGUUAUUAGGGAAGAACAUAUGUGUAAGUAACUGUGCACAUCUUGACGGUACCUAAUCAGAAAGCCACGGCUAACUACGUG